Molecule: ribosomal RNA, 510 nt
Filed under: uncultured bacterium
Lineage: Bacteria
Description: bacterial SSU rRNA
Rfam family: Bacterial small subunit ribosomal RNA
Source: RNAcentral
GAUCCUGGCUUAGGAUGAACGCUAGCUACAGGCUUAACACAUGCAAGUCGAGGGGUAGCAGGAUCUAGCAAUAGAUUGCUGACGACCGGCGCACGGGUGAGUAACACGUAUCCAACCUUCCGUUUACUCGGGGAUAGCCUUUCGAAAGAAAGAUUAAUACCCGAUAGUAUGUUUUUCCCGCAUGGGAGAACCAUUAAAGUUUUUCGGUAAUCGAUGGGGAUGCGUUCCAUUAGGCAGUUGGUGAGGUAACGGCUCACCAAACCUUCGAUGGAUAGGGGUUCUGAGAGGAAGGUCCCCCACAUUGGAACUGAGACACGGUCCAAACUCCUACGGGAGGCAGCAGUGAGGAAUAUUGGUCAAUGGACGAGAGUCUGAACCAGCCAAGUAGCCGUGAAGGAUGACUGCCCUAUGGGUUGUAAACUUCUUUUAUAUGGGAAUAAAGGAGCCUACGUGUAGGUUUUUGUAUGUACCAUACGAAUAAGGAUCGGCUAACUCCGUGCCAGCCGCCGC